Molecule: transfer RNA, 75 nt
Filed under: Fidelibacterota bacterium
Lineage: Bacteria; Pseudomonadati; Fidelibacterota
Description: Candidatus Marinimicrobia bacterium tRNA-Met
Rfam family: tRNA
About the family: Transfer RNA (tRNA) molecules are approximately 80 nucleotides in length. Their secondary structure includes four short double-helical elements and three loops (D, anti-codon, and T loops).
Source: RNAcentral
CGCGGGGUGGAGCAGUCUGGUAGCUCGUCGGGCUCAUAACCCGAAGGUCGGAGGUUCGAAUCCUUCCCCCGCUAC